Molecule: microRNA precursor, 82 nt
Filed under: Camelus bactrianus (Bactrian camel)
Lineage: Eukaryota; Metazoa; Chordata; Mammalia; Artiodactyla; Camelidae
Also listed under: 2 other names
Source: RNAcentral
GUGUGUGGUACUCGACUGCAGGGAGUGACAAUCAUAUAUAAUUAAAAAUGGCUGACAUCUCUGCUAGUGGAGAAAUACAUGA